This 433-nucleotide ribosomal RNA is filed under the name uncultured bacterium. Its description in RNAcentral is "partial 16S ribosomal RNA". It matches the Rfam family "Bacterial small subunit ribosomal RNA", at positions 29 to 507 of the family's 1533-position model. The record is from RNAcentral.
AACGAACGCUGGCGGCAUGCCUAACACAUGCCAGUCGAACGAGACCUUCGGGUCUAGUGGCGCACGGGUGCGUAACGCGUGGGAACCUGCCCUUAGGUUCGGAAUAACUCCCCGAAAGGGGUGCUAAUACCGGAUAAUGUCUUCGGACCAAAGAUUUAUCGCCUUUGGAUGGGCCCGCGUUGGAUUAGCUAGUUGGGAGGGUAAAAGCCUACCAAGGCGACGAUCCAUAGCUGGUCUGAGAGGAUGAUCAGCCACACUGGGACUGAGACACGGCCCAGACUCCUACGGGAGGCAGCAGUGGGGAAUAUUGGACAAUGGGCGAAAGCCUGAUCCAGCAAUGCCGCGUGAGUGAUGAAGGCCUUAGGGUUGUAAAGCUCUUUUACCCGGGAUGAUAAUGACAGUACCGGGAGAAUAAGCUCCGGCUAACUCCGUG